AAGGAUCAUUAUCGAAUAAACAUUUGAUAGGCUGUUGCUGGCCCUUCUAGGGUAGUGUGCACGCUUGUCAUUUAUUUUUCCACCUGUGCACCACCUAGUCUCUCUAGGUUCUAUGUUACUCACAUACUCCUACGAAUGUAAUAGAAUGUUGAUCUGGGUCUUUGAUGCCCAUAAAGUUAUAUACAACUUUCAGCAAUGGAUCUCUUGGCUCUCGCAUCGAUGAAGAACGCAGCCUCUACUUGACCAGGAAGUAAAAGUCGUAACAAGGCACCGAUGAAGAACGCAGCGUAGCCAGCAUCGAUGUGGAAGUAAAAGUCGUAACAAG
This 325-nucleotide unclassified non-coding RNA is filed under the name uncultured fungus. RNAcentral describes it as "partial contains 18S rRNA, ITS1, 5.8S rRNA, ITS2 and 28S rRNA". Lineage: Eukaryota; Fungi. The record is from RNAcentral.